GACGAACGCUGGCGGCGUGCUUAACACAUGCAAGUCGAACGAAGAGCGAUGGAAGCUUGCUUCUAUCAAUCUUAGUGGCGAACGGGUGAGUAACGAGUAAUCCACCUGCCCUUCAGAGGGGGACAACAGUUGGAACCGACUGCUAAUACCACAUACGAUCCCAUCUCGACAUCGAGGAAAGAUAAACGGUGCCCUCUACCUGUAAGCUAUCACUGAAGGUGGGGAUUGCGUCUGAUUAGGUAGUUGGACGGGUAACGGCCUACCAAGGCGAUGAUCAGUAGCCGGUCUGAGAGGAUGAACGGCCACACUGGGACUGAGACACGGCCCAGACUCCUACGGGAGGCAGCAGUGGGGAAUCUUCCGCAAUGGACGAAAGUCUGACGGAGCAACGCCGCGUGAGUGAUGACGGCCUUCGGGUUGUAAAGCUCUGUUAAUAGGGACGAAAGGCCUUCUUGCUAAUAGUGAGAAGGAGUGACGGUACCGUAAAAGAAAGCCACGGCUAACUACGUG
Molecule: ribosomal RNA, 510 nt
Filed under: uncultured bacterium
Lineage: Bacteria
Description: partial 16S ribosomal RNA
Rfam family: Bacterial small subunit ribosomal RNA
Source: RNAcentral